This is a long non-coding RNA of Acanthaster planci (crown-of-thorns starfish), 1317 nucleotides long. RefSeq lists it as uncharacterized. Lineage: Eukaryota; Metazoa; Echinodermata; Asteroidea; Valvatida; Acanthasteridae. The record is from RefSeq and is a predicted model, not a curated record.
ACACAUUUGCCUAACUUUACACUGAACUUGACGGUCGGAUACAUUCGCCUAACUUUGCACUGAACUAUCAGUCAGACAGCAGCCUUUUUUUUAACCCUGAAAUUCAUAGUAAACAUCUCCCUAAAUUUCCACCAAGCCAGCCUGUACUGGCUAUAAAAACUGUCAGGCUUUCUUUUGACCAACUAACAACAAAGAACAAAGCUGAGUGAAUUAUCAGACUUCUGGUAUAAGUUUUAUGUAGCGGUUGUGACAAUGUUGCCAGUGUUUGUUUCUGACCGUCUUGCCCCAGACAAUACCUUAGCAGGAAAUUCGCUAAAAAUUAACAUUAUACAUGUGUAGACCAAUCACUGCACAUUUCAUUUUUCAUUAAGUGUUGAGUAUUUGCCAUGUUGCUGAUGGCAGAGUCCCAGGACAAUUUUGACAAAUUGUUCCGAACAAUCAAAUCAACUAGUGGAAAGUUAGGCAAAUAUUUCCUGACCCUUAAUUUCUUGGUGGACAGUUAGGAAACUUUUUUCAUGACCGUUAACACCAAUGGAUAGUUAGGCAAAUCAUUUCGUGACCGUUAAUGCUGAGUUAGACAAACUGUAUGGUGAUCGUAAGUUCCCAAUGCUUUCGUGACGUUUAGUUCCCGUAUGGACAGAUAGACAAAGUGUUUCGUGACCGUAACAAACUAUAGUUUCGUGGGAAGCUGUAAAGGAAAGACUAACUGAAGUUCUGAAAUGUGAUGGUGAUUUCCGGGGCAAUCCUCGCCGCUGUCGGGCCCUACUUCUAGGCUGUAUUAUUCAACUACUAAAAUUAGGAGAAUGGUUCAUCGUUGAUCAUGGCGAGGAGUGAGCAUUUUGUGCAAUGGCAAAGUUGUGAUGUAUGGAACAGUGAAUUCAGACCCGUAGAAGACUGCAUUGUGAACCUAGAGCAUAUUCAGCAGUAGCAGGCCUUGUCAAACAGAGGAGAUAUGUAGCAAAAACAGAACGUUUUACCGCAUGACACUGAUCACGAGGGAAUCGAAGCAACAUACUGUUCCAAAAUUAAUGGCUGAUUGUUGACCUGAGCGAAAUGGCAGCGUGAGGGCAGGCAUAAAUACACUGUACCACAUGUGCAAGCUUCAGGCUACCUAGACAUGGAGAUGAGAGGCCCCUAAAACCUGCAUUAUCACACCGGGUACUUGUCUCACAAGAGAUUUAGUAGCAGCUGGAAAUCUUUAUUAUACACUCUGAAAUCCAUGGGCAGAAUCCAUGCAUUAGAGUGUUGUAGUCAAGACCAUUUGCAAGAUCAGACACAAGAGCACGCACAAGACCAGCACAAAGGAACGCUUUUGUU